Molecule: ribosomal RNA, 760 nt
Filed under: Streptococcus mutans
Lineage: Bacteria; Bacillati; Bacillota; Bacilli; Lactobacillales; Streptococcaceae
Description: bacterial SSU rRNA
Rfam family: Bacterial small subunit ribosomal RNA
Source: RNAcentral
AGUGGGACGCAAGGGAACACACUGUGCUUGCACACCGUGUUUUCUUGAGUCGCGAACGGGUGAGUAACGCGUAGGUAACCUGCCUAUUAGCGGGGGAUAACUAUUGGAAACGAUAGCUAAUACCGCAUAAUAUUAAUUAUUGCAUGAUAAUUGAUUGAAAGAUGCAAGCGCAUCACUAGUAGAUGGACCUGCGUUGUAUUAGCUAGUUGGUAAGGUAAGAGCUUACCAAGGCGACGAUACAUAGCCGACCUGAGAGGGUGAUCGGCCACACUGGGACUGAGACACGGCCCAGACUCCUACGGGAGGCAGCAGUAGGGAAUCUUCGGCAAUGGACGAAAGUCUGACCGAGCAACGCCGCGUGAGUGAAGAAGGUUUUCGGAUCGUAAAGCUCUGUUGUAAGUCAAGAACGUGUGUGAGAGUGGAAAGUUCACACAGUGACGGUAGCUUACCAGAAAGGGACGGCUAACUACGUGCCAGCAGCCGCGGUAAUACGUAGGUCCCGAGCGUUGUCCGGAUUUAUUGGGCGUAAAGGGAGCGCAGGCGGUCAGGAAAGUCUGGAGUAAAAGGCUAUGGCUCAACCAUAGUGUGCUCUGGAAACUGUCUGACUUGAGUGCAGAAGGGGAGAGUGGAAUUCCAUGUGUAGCGGUGAAAUGCGUAGAUAUAUGGAGGAACACCAGUGGCGAAAGCGGCUCUCUGGUCUGUCACUGACGCUGAGGCUCGAAAGCGUGGGUAGCGAACAGGAUUAGAUACCCUGGUAGUC